RNAcentral lists this ribosomal RNA (600 nucleotides) under uncultured bacterium. Its description in RNAcentral is "bacterial SSU rRNA". It matches the Rfam family "Bacterial small subunit ribosomal RNA", at positions 8 to 610 of the family's 1533-position model. The record is from RNAcentral.
AGGGUUUGAUUAUGGCUCAGAUUGAACGCUGGCGGCAUGCCUUACACAUGCAAGUCGAACGGUAACAGGUUAAGCUGACGAGUGGCGAACGGGUGAGUAAUAUAUCGGAACGUGCCCAGUUGUGGGGGAUAACUACUCGAAAGAGUGGCUAAUACCGCAUGAGACCUGAGGGUGAAAGCGGGGGAUCGCAAGACCUCGCGCAAUUGGAGCGGCCGAUAUCAGAUUAGCUAGUUGGUGGGGUAAAAGCCCACCAAGGCAACGAUCUGUAGCUGGUCUGAGAGGACGACCAGCCACACUGGGACUGAGACACGGCCCAGACUCCUACGGGAGGCAGCAGUGGGGAAUUUUGGACAAUGGACGAAAGUCUGAUCCAGCCAUGCCGCGUGCGGGAAGAAGGCCUUCGGGUUGUAAACCGCUUUUGUCAGGGAAGAAACGGGUUUCUCUAAUACAGAGGCCUAAUGACGGUACCUGAAGAAUAAGCACCGGCUAACUACGUGCCAGCAGCCGCGGUAAUACGUAGGGUGCAAGCGUUAAUCGGAAUUACUGGGCGUAAAGCGUGCGCAGGCGGUUAUGCAAGACAGAGGUGAAAUCCCCGGGCUC